Molecule: ribosomal RNA, 478 nt
Filed under: uncultured bacterium
Lineage: Bacteria
Description: partial 16S ribosomal RNA
Rfam family: Bacterial small subunit ribosomal RNA
Source: RNAcentral
GAUGAACGCUGGCGGCGUGCCUAACACAUGCAAGUCGAACGGAGUCCAGCCUUUAAGACCUUCGGGUCAAAGGGGGGGAGACUGAGUGGCGGACGGGUGAGUAACACGUGGGCAACCUGGCUCAUAGAGGGGGAUAACAGAGAGAAAUUUCUGCUAAUACCGCAUAAGCACACACUGCCGCAUGGCAGAGGGUGAAAAGAGAAUCGCUAUGAGAUGGACCCGCGUCUGAUUAGCCAGUUGGCAGGGUAAGAGCCUACCAAAGCGACGAUCAGUAGCCGAUCUGAGAGGAUGAACGGCCACAUUGGGACUGAGACACGGCCCAAACUCCUACGGGAGGCAGCAGUGGGGGAUAUUGCACAAUGGGGGGAACCCUGAUGCAGCGACGCCGCGUGAGUGAAGAAGUAUUUCGGUAUGUAAAGCUCUAUCAGCAGGGAAGAUAAUGACAGUACCUGAAUAAGAAGCCCCGGCUAACUACGUG